UACGUAGGGGGCAAGCGUUGUCCGGAAUCAUUGGGCGUAAAGAGCGUGUAGGCGGCUCGGUAAGUCCGCUCUGAAAGCCCGGGGCUCAACCCCGGGAGGCGGGCGGAUACUGUCGGGCUAGAGUCCGGAAGAGGCGAGUGGAAUUCCUGGUGUAGCGGUGAAAUGCGUAGAGAUCGGAAAGAACACCAACGGCGAAAGCACUCUGCUGGGCCGACACUGACACUGAGAGACGAAAGCUAGGGGAGCGAAUGGG
RNAcentral lists this ribosomal RNA (253 nucleotides) under uncultured bacterium. RNAcentral describes it as "partial 16S ribosomal RNA". It matches the Rfam family "Bacterial small subunit ribosomal RNA", at positions 524 to 776 of the family's 1533-position model. The record is from RNAcentral.